UAGAACCCUUGCAGAUUCUAAGCUUGGGGUUGAUCUCUUUAGGGGAUCGGCCUCCUUGGAACUCUAUAGGGGUUCCUUCCUCCAAGUUGCUGCUCAAAGGCUGCAGAAAAGAUUCAUCUAUUGCUUAUGAAAAGAGGAGGAAUACAUGACUAUUUAUAGGGCUUCUAAACCCUAACUCAUAAUAGGACUCCUACUCAAGACUCCUACUUCUAACCAACUCCUAAUAUGACUCCUACUCAAGACUCCUA
RNAcentral lists this long non-coding RNA (248 nucleotides) under Musa acuminata (dwarf banana). RNAcentral's name for it is "long non-coding RNA (MACU_LNC009615)". The record is from RNAcentral. Lineage: Eukaryota; Viridiplantae; Streptophyta; Magnoliopsida; Zingiberales; Musaceae.